RNAcentral lists this ribosomal RNA (640 nucleotides) under Salmonella enterica subsp. enterica serovar Typhimurium. RNAcentral describes it as "partial 23S ribosomal RNA". It matches the Rfam family "Bacterial large subunit ribosomal RNA", at positions 2259 to 2893 of the family's 2925-position model. RNAcentral also lists the same sequence under 2 other names. Lineage: Bacteria; Pseudomonadati; Pseudomonadota; Gammaproteobacteria; Enterobacterales; Enterobacteriaceae. The record is from RNAcentral.
UGGUGGGUAGUUUGACUGGGGCGGUCUCCUCCUAAAGAGUAACGGAGGAGCACGAAGGUUGGCUAAUCCUGGUCGGACAUCAGGAGGUUAGUGCAAUGGCAUAAGCCAGCUUGACUGCGAGCGUGACGGCGCGAGCAGGUGCGAAAGCAGGUCAUAGUGAUCCGGUGGUUCUGAAUGGAAGGGCCAUCGCUCAACGGAUAAAAGGUACUCCGGGGAUAACAGGCUGAUACCGCCCAAGAGUUCAUAUCGACGGCGGUGUUUGGCACCUCGAUGUCGGCUCAUCACAUCCUGGGGCUGAAGUAGGUCCCAAGGGUAUGGCUGUUCGCCAUUUAAAGUGGUACGCGAGCUGGGUUUAGAACGUCGUGAGACAGUUCGGUCCCUAUCUGCCGUGGGCGCUGGAGAACUGAGGGGGGCUGCUCCUAGUACGAGAGGACCGGAGUGGACGCAUCACUGGUGUUCGGGUUGUCAUGCCAAUGGCACUGCCCGGUAGCUAAAUGCGGAAGAGAUAAGUGCUGAAAGCAUCUAAGCACGAAACUUGCCCCGAGAUGAGUUCUCCCUGAGACUUUAGGUCUCCUGAAGGAACGUUGAAGACGACGACGUUGAUAGGCCGGGUGUGUAAGCGCAGCGAUGCGUUGAGCUA